RNAcentral lists this long non-coding RNA (6063 nucleotides) under Citrus sinensis (sweet orange). RNAcentral describes it as "long non-coding RNA (CSIN_LNC002828)". The record is from RNAcentral. Lineage: Eukaryota; Viridiplantae; Streptophyta; Magnoliopsida; Sapindales; Rutaceae.
CUAAUUCUUUGCCUCUCAACCUAUCCCUCUCGUUAACAAGCCACACGGCUGCAACUCCUCUCCAUCUCUCGUUAAAUAAGCCAGCAGCCACUACCCACUGCCGCAGCGCACCUCCACAAAAUACCAGCUGCAUCACGUCGCCACAAGUCUGCUACACCACUUGUAAUCUCUUGCGAAUCAACCUCCGUAAAAAGAGAACACUAGCCGCAUCACGUCGCCACAAGCCCGCUACACCACCUGUAAUCUCUAGCGAAUCAGCCUCCGUAAAAAGAGAAAUAAAUUCAAUUCAAAAAAACAUUUUGAUCAAGAAGACGAUGGCGGUGUUCAAAAAUUAUUUUGAGCAUGAGCGGAUCUCCGGGAUCGACAACAUCAUUGUUGCAGCAGCGGCGGCUGGCAUUAGUAAUGUUCUUUUUUGUCAUUUGAUUUUUUUUCCGGUUGCUUGUUGGUUUGUUUAAGUUAAUAAUUCCAUAAGAUUGAAUGAAUUUACUUGAAACAAUUGUUUUGGUUUUGGACAAUGUUGCCGGUUUGUUAGUUAAAAGUAAACUUUUAUGUAUGCUUGAAGACCUGAAGCACGAGGAGCCCAGGAGGGAUGCCUUUGCAGUUUGCCUAGUGCUUGGAAAAUGCGGGCAGAGAAAACCCGAAAAAAAAGCCCGUGCCCGGAUACUGCCGGGCAUAUGCCCGGCCCGCAUAGAAAAAAUUCGGACACGGUCCAGGUCUGGGCAGCAAUGUGUGUCAUGCGGGUGAGUCCCAGGCAGCCCCAAAACCGGACCUGACCCGGACUUUUGCCAACCCUAAAUUGUUAUGUAUGUAAUUGAUUUUAAUUUUCCUGCGCGCUUUUCUUAUUUUGCAUCGGUGCAAGGAAAACAUGAUACUGAGUCCAAAAUAUCCUUGAAUUUGACAUAUUGAUACUUUGAUCCUUUUUAUUUUGACAGUAUCAUAUUAGUUUAUGUCGUUAGUUAGUAACAGUUGGCAUUUUUUUUUUUACUGAAUUAUGAAUUAAACUGAAAUAGCAUAAGUUUUAAAUUUAUGCAUAUGUCUCAAUUUUGACACCCUCAGAAUUUCUUAUAGAAUCCCUUUUUAAUUGAAAUCACCCUUAUACAAAAGACAAAUUUAUUCACUUCUUAUUUCGAAUGAGAAUUCAAUUAAACACUAUUCUUUUACUAAAUAUUUUACACAUUCCAUUUUAUAAUUUAUAUUCGUAUUUUACAUUUUAAAUAAUUUUUUUAGAGAAAAUUAUAAGAGUUAAUGUUAUAGAGAUAGAGACGCUGUAGUAAGAAAAUAAUUUAAGUUUUUUGACUUGCAUUUAUUUUAUAAAUAAAAACUUAGAAAAAAUACCUUUUCAAGGUAAAAUUUUAUGGAUAUAUGAUGACACACCUACAAACUCUCAUAUACAAAGUAUUUUUAUACAAAUUAACAUGACAUAACAUAGUCAAUCGAAUGAAAAUACUACAUAACCGACAUGAUUUAUUUUUAUAUUUUAUAUUUCUACUACACUAAUGAUAUAAUGCUGCAACAAUUAAACAAGAGUUUAUAGGUAUAGUAUUAUUCUUAAUAUUAAUGUGUGUUUAUUUUUAUAAAUUAAAUUGGGGUAUCAAAGAAAUAAAAUUUAAAAUGUGUGUUAUGAGGAUUUUAGAAGGGUGUUAAAAUCUCCACUCAGUACGAACAUUGGAUAGUAUUCAAGCCUUUUCAUUCUACGAACCAUGUGUAGUACAUUCUUGCUAGGCCUCGAGAAAGUGGAAAUUCAUCUCAUGCUCUAAAAUUACUUCAGCCACAAUGACCAAAAAAAAAAAAAAAUUGUCCAUGAUUGAUUUAGUGGGCAGAAGGCAAAAGAAAGAGCAUUAUUGUAUCUCGUUGUUGGGCAUAAGAGACUAUGGGGCCACACAAAAUGUUCAUGACUAUAACUCUAUAAUAAUCCCAAGAGGUCUAUCGUGAGGGCAAAGCUGAUCUAAGAAUUAUUCACGUAUAAAUUGUAAAAAUAUAGCCUACUGAUUUCAUAAUUUAUAUAAAAGUAAUUUUUCUUCUUCGUCAAGUAUUGUAAAAUUUCUGCUGUGAACUUAAUCCUAUCGCUGAAAUUAAUUUGAUCUAAUGUCUAUAAUUCUCUGUCUUUACAAGGGACUGUUGAUAUCUGGUUUAUUAGAUAGUCACCUGCUGUCAUUGCCCCAGAUCGUAUCCUUAAUUCUUGUUGAGUCACUAUUUCAGUCAGUGUUGCUGAGGUUCCAUUGGGACAUUUGAUCAUGUACCCGAUUCAUUUCAUCAAACACUUCAUUUUCUGCCAAGGCAAUGCCACUUGGGGUUGUCAUCACACUAAAUCAUUGAUUUAGAUAUGAGUUGCAACUUUAAUUCAGGGAGCAAAGACAUUAGCCAAACCACUUCUACUGCUAGCUAUGCUGUAGUGCUCUAUAUUCACCUUCUCCAUGUGCAGUACAUGCCUUGACGUCCCAUUCUAUUUUUCAAAGUUAAUUUCAUUAAUUAAAAAUCAAGUUCAUAUUGAAAUUUUAACCGUUUCUUAUAAAUAAAGUUGCUUUGAGUUUUCCAACUUCAUAAAACUAAUAAUAUUUAUCUUAUGGUGAGCGACAGUAUCACGUAAUGUUGUUGGUUAAUUCACAACUUAAACAUUAUUCACGAGGAGUCAUAAAAUUUUAUCAUGUAUCUACAUGCUCACAUAUUAUUGGCAUUUGUGCUCAUUAGAUCAUCUUCCUAUAAGAUCAAACAUCCAUUUUAAUUCCUUUAAAAAUUCCAUUUUAGUUGGAAUAAAAAAUAAUCUAUGUUAAUUUUACUCCUUAAAUCUCAUUGGUAAAUUGCCGUCUUCGUCUCUCUCUCUCUCUAUGUAUCUCCUCUGCACCAACACGUUCAUCCAUCAUUGAAAUUUAUUGGUGUUACAAAUGAUGUUCAAUUCCUGAACUUGAAUUUUGAAAUAAAAGAUUAUAUAUUACCAGACAUAAAAAAUAAAAAAAAGUACCACAUGUUCUUCUAAUCAAAGUAACUUCUGAUCAUUUUAUAUUAUUUGUAUGCUUACUUUGGGUACUUCUCAUUUUGAUCAGCAAGAGAAUUUGACAUAGACACUAUGACACUAUUUUUUACUGAAUUAUGAAUAAAUUUGAAUUUGCAUAAGUUCGGCAUAUUCAAUUAAACACUAUUCUUUUAAUAAACCUUUAAACCCAUCCCAUUUCAUAAUUUAAAUUUUAAUUGAAUUUUUUUAGAGAAAAUUAUAAGGGUUUAGAGUUACAAAGAUAGAAAGUAGAAACUAUAGUAAGAAAACAAUUUAAGAUUUCAGGAUUUUUAUAUUUUUAUAAAUAAAAACUUAAGAAAAGAUCUUUUUAGGGUUUAAAUUUUAUGGAUUGAUGACGAUACACCUACAAAUUCCUAUAAAAAUUAUUUUUGUACAAACUAACAUGGCAUAACAUAGUUAGAUGAAUGAAAACACUACAUGAUCCAUGUAAUAUAUAUUUCUUAUUUUAUAUUUUCCCUCAACCAAUAGUUUAAUAUCGCAUCAGUUUAUAUAAAAAUUGUCGCUAUAAUAUUACUCUUAAUAUUAAUAUGUAUGUUCGGUUUUUAUUUAUUAUGUGCGUUUGUUUUUUAUAAAUUAAAAUAAAGGUAUUUAGAAAAUAAAAUCCGGAACCGAAAGAGUGUUAUAUGGAUUUUAGAGGUGUAUUAAAAGCUCCAUUCUAUAUGAAAAUUGUAGCCCAAUCUAAAUGCCAAAAUACUGAUCGGGCUUUUCAUGCUAUGAACCAUGUGUUGCGCCUUCUUGCUAGACCUCGAAGAAGUGAAAAUGUCAUGUCAAGUUUCAAUCCCGAGUUUAUUUUCACAAUGUGGCUGAAAUAAUUUGGACCUACAAAGAGACUUUUGUCUUCCACUCUCAAAAGUAAAGCAUACAUCAAAAACGAGAAAAAAAUAUCUUGCCCCACGAUUGAAAAGUUAGUGGAUAUGCCAUUUUGUAACCACUAAUAUUUGGCCAAGGGUCAGUCUUGCUUAUUCUGAAAAACAUAGUCAAGUCGAUACCAUUCGAUCCAAUAAGCUGAAAAGGAAAGGAGAGCAUUAUCUUUAUUGGGCAUAACUUUAGAAUAUCAUCUAUCGUGUGUGCAAAGCUGAGCUCAGAAUCACCCACGUAUAAAUUGUAAAAAUCCGCCUAUUGAUUUCAUUCAUUUCAUAAGUUCAUAUAUAAUUAAUUAAUUAUUGUUUCUUCUUCGUUAAGUAUUGUAAAUUUUUGAUGUAGGACAAACGUAGUAGUAUAAAUUUAAUUUCUUUUUUUUCUAGUUUGAUAAAAAUUUAUUUUAUAUUUUUCUUAUUUAAAUUAUAUUCUUUUACUUAUAAGGAAUCACAAUUUUAUUAGGAAUAAGAUAAUCUUAACUAGUAUAAAUAUACUUAUUAUACUUGGUUUUUACAUAAGUUUCUCAUUAAUAAUAUUCAAUAUUUCUCAAUUGAGAUAUUUAUCCUUUGUGAGAGUGUUCUUCUUGAGUUUUCAAGAAUGUGCACUAGAACGAAAUCUAGUAUCAUUUCCACCCUACGUCAAAUUUCAACCGUGAACUGGAUCCUAUGACCAAAACUUUUAUUUUUUAAUUACAUGAGAUUAUUGCUUAAAUUAUAAUUCAUAUUAUAUGAGACUAUAACUGAUAUUUACAAUCAAACAAUUAAUAAGAUUAGUAAUUUAAUGAGUGCUAAUUAUAAUGAUUAUAAAAACAGUAACAAUAAGAGAAAAUCAAAACCAUGUGUGUAUGUAUAUGUGUGUGUAUAUACAUAUAAAUAUAAUGUAAUGUAAUGUAAUAAAAUACAUUACAUGAACCUUGGGCCAAAGCUGUGUGGGAGCGGUUGCAAACAGUUGGUGUAAUAGAGAAGUGACUGAAACAGUGUAACUGUGGGAGAGGUCGUUGUCAUUGGCAUAGCUAUUGUUGGAUGAACAGAGAAGCCAUAUAAAAAGAACAAAAGCCUUGAGGAGAAUCCUCAUUAUGCGCUCGGAGGACUGUUAAUUUGUGUGGCUAAAUGUAUGUUCACGAAGCUUCCAAGUCUCCAAGAACAUAGACCGACUAUUUGCUAUCUUGGCUUCACUUAUAUAACAGUAUAAUAAGAAAAUAAUUUAAGACUUUGGCAUUUGUAUAUAUUUUAAAUAAAAACUUAAGAAAAAUAUUUUUUAGUGUGAAAUUUUAUGGAUAGAAAAUGAUACACCAAUAAAUUCUUAUAUACAAAUUAUUUUUAUACAAACUAACAUAGCGUAAUAGGUUAGUUAAAUAAAAAAUAAUACAUGACCUGUAUGAUUUAUUUUUAUCUUUUAUAUUUCCACUCAAAUGAAUUGACAUAAUGUUAUAUCAGGUUAUACAAGAGUUUGUAGGUACAAUAUUACUAUAUUAUUGUGGACUUAUCUUUUAUAAAUUAAAUUGAGAGUAUUUAAAUAAUAAAAUUCAAAACGUUAAAAGCUCCCCUCUAAAUGAAAAAUGAAUAGUAAUUGGGCCUUUUCAUUCUAGGAACCAUGUGUUGAACAUUCUUGCUAGACCUCAAGAAUGUGGAAAUUAAAGUGAUGCUCUAAAGUUUCAAUCGCAUAUGUGUCUCCCGUUGUGGCUAAUGUAAUUUGGACCGAUAAAGACUUCUUCCACAUUCAAAAGAAAAGAACACACCAAAAAUGACAAAAAAAAAAAUAUUUUGCUCCAUGAUUGAUGAGUUACUGGACACAUUCUUGUUAGGAAUGAAAAUGGAGGGAGGAAAGGUGAUCUAUAUUCCCAUAUGUAUUCCUAAUAUUUUGUAUAUAUUUUUACUUAUGUUAAAAUUGCUAGAGGGAGGGGAUGAGGAUCUCCUAAUAAUAAAUAAAAGAUCCCAAAUGCCCUCCCCUCUCGUUAACAAGCCACACGGCUGCAACUCCUCUCCAUCUCUCGUUAAAUAAGCCAGCAGCCACUACCCACUGCCGCAGCGCACCUCCACAAAAUACCAGCUGCAUCACGUCGCCACAAGUCUGCUACACCACUUGUAAUCUCUUGCGAAUCAACCUCCGUAAAAAGAGAACACUAGCCGCAUCACGUCGCCACAAGCCCGCUACACCACCUGUAAUCUCUAGCGAAUCAGCCUCCGUAAAAAGAG